AAGUCGGACGCUCCACCGACUGAGUCACCCAGUUGGCCUCUAUUGCCUCUCCUAUUCAAACCAUCAGUCACCAGAGAAUAUACGUGAGAAGUACCAAAUGGGAAAAUCACUUGGAAGGUAGUUACAAUACUUCAGUUGGAUAGGGGGAUGCAGUUCCAAGGAGGUUCUAGAGAGAAGACAAAAUCAUGAGAAGAUUCUGGUUCCCCAAGUCAUCCCUGAAGAAUAACCCAGGGAAGUUGACACCAGGAGAUAUUCAGUCAACUUCCAUGGUUACAGAGCAAGAAGCAGCAGAGCUUGGAUGAAAAUAGGCAGUCUCUCUCCGGAGCCUACAGAACAAAAGCCAAUGGAGUCACUACUCAGUACAUCCUAGACACUGUCCCAGGUAAUGGAGACACAGAGAGUAAGGAGAGUGCCUGACUUGGAAGAGCUCACAGUGAACUGGAGACACAAAUGAAAAUCCAACUCCUAAGGAUCACAACCAGCUUAGGAACAGAAUCGUCCAACAUCCAUUUCCUAUGCCCGGGAACCGUUGUGGAGUUCAAGGAAGCAAAUUCUACACUCUUCAAGCUUAAGCCCUGUUUCCCUAAGUGCUGCAAAAGUCUCUUUGGCCCACCCUAAUUGUUGCUUUCUUGGCUAACCAUGCCAUCCUGUAUUUUACUGGGUGUCUUAUACCCAGAUCUCCUUUCCUGACCAAUCAAGCUACAGCCAACUAUGGUGAGCCAGGUCUGAAGCCCAAGAGCU
Long non-coding RNA from Hyaena hyaena (striped hyena), 741 nucleotides. RefSeq lists it as uncharacterized. The record is from RefSeq and is a predicted model, not a curated record. The transcript is spliced from 6 exons. NCBI's taxonomy places the organism in Eukaryota, Metazoa, Chordata, Mammalia, Carnivora, Hyaenidae.